CCUACGGGUGGCAGCAGUGAGGAAUAUUGGUCAAUGGACGAGAGCCUGAACCAGCCAAGUAGCGUGAAGGAUGACUGCCCUAUGGGUUGUAAACUUCUUUUAUAUGGGAAUAAAAUGUUCCACGUGUGGGAUUUUGUAUGUACCAUAUGAAUAAGGAUCGGCUAACCCCGUGCCAGCAGCCGCGGUAAUACGGAGGAUCCGAGCGUUAUCCGGAUUUAGUGGGUUUAAAGGGAGCGUAGGUGGAUUGUUAAGUCCGUUGUGAAAGUUUGCGGCUCCACCGUAAAAUUGCAGUUGAAACUGGCAGUCUUGAGUACAGUAGAGGUGGGCGGAAUUCGUGGUGUAGCGGUGAAAUGCUUAGAUAUCACGAAGAACUCCGAUUGCGAAGGCAGCUCACUGGACUGCAACUGACGCUGAGGCUCGAAAGUGUGGGUAUCAAACAGGAUUAGAUACCCCAGUAGUC
Molecule: ribosomal RNA, 460 nt
Filed under: uncultured bacterium
Lineage: Bacteria
Description: partial 16S ribosomal RNA
Rfam family: Bacterial small subunit ribosomal RNA
Source: RNAcentral